RNAcentral lists this ribosomal RNA (2711 nucleotides) under human gut metagenome. Its description in RNAcentral is "bacterial LSU rRNA". The stretch from base 1 to 2187 matches the Rfam family "Bacterial large subunit ribosomal RNA". The record is from RNAcentral.
UUAAGCUAAGAAGAGCGUAGGGAGAAUGCCUUGGCAUUAGGAGCCGAUGAAGGACGUGAUAAGCUGCGAUAAGCUGCGGGGAUCAGCAAGUAUGAAUUGAUCCGCAGAUUUCCGAAUGGAGCAAUCCGUAUGUGUAUGCACAUACAUCAUAUACUGAAUCAAAUAGGUAUAUGAGGGGAACCGCCUGAACUGAAACAUCUAAGUAGGGCGAGGAAGAGAAAUCAACCGAGAUUCUGUGAGUAGUGGCGAGCGAAAGCGGAAGAGGCUAAACCAUAGGUAGCAAUACUUAUGGGGUUUCGGACAGCAUUUAGUAUUGAUAAUUUCUAGUUGAAACGUGUGGGAAAACGUACCGAAGAGUGUGAGAGUCACGUAAGCGAAAGAGAAAGUCAGCGAGCUGUAUCCAAAGUACCGCGGGACACGUGAAACCCCGUGGGAAGAUGGGGGGACCAUCCUCCAAGCCUAAAUACUACCUAAUGACCGAUAGCGAAUAGUACUGUGAAGGAACGGUGAAAAGAACCCCGGGAGGGGAGUGAAAAAGAACCUGAAACCCUAUGCUUACAAGCACCGAGAGCACGUCAAAGUGUGAUCGGGUACCUUUUGUAGAAUGGUCCGGCGAGUUAUUGUAUGCGGCAAGGUUAAGUGCUUAAGGCACGGAGCCGAAGCGAGAGCAAGUCUGAAUAGGGCGAGUAAGUCGUAUGCAAUAGACCCGAAACCGAGUGACCUAUCCAUGUCCAGGCUGAAGUGGAGGUAAAACUCUAUGGAGGGCCGAACACACGUCCGUUGAAAAGGCCGGUGAUGAGGUGUGGAUAGCGGAGAAAUUCCAAUCGAACUCGGAUAUAGCUGGUUCUCUCCGAAAUAGCUUUAGGGCUAGCCUCGUGAAAGAUUACUGGAGGUAAAGCACUGAAUGGGCUAGGGGUCGAAAGAUUACUGAACCCUAUCAAACUAAGAAUGCCAGAUAAUUGAUUCACGGGAGUCAGACAAUGUGAGAUAAGUCUCAUUGUCAAAAGGGAAACAGCCCAGACCCACAGCUAAGGUCCCUAAACAUUGUUAAGUGGAAAAGGAUGUGGGGUUGCAUAAACAACCAGGAUGUUGGCUUAGAAGCAGCCACUCAUUAAAAGAGUGCGUAAUAGCUCACUGGUCGAGUGACCCUGCGCCGAAAAUUCAACGGGGCUAAACAAUAUACCGAAGCUUGGGAUUCUAAAGUAAUUUAGAGUGGUAGGAGAGCGUCGAAUAAGGGGUGAAGUCAGAGCGGAAGCGCUGGUGGACUUUAUUCGAGUGAGAAUGCCGGAAUGAGUAGCGAGAAUUAUGUGAGAAUCAUAAUGGCCGAAAAUCUAAGGUUUCCUGAGGAAGGUUCGUCCGCUCAGGGUAAGCCGGGGGCUAAGGCGAGGCGGAGACGCGUAGCCGAUGCACAUACGGUUGAAAUUCCGUAGCCACCGAAAGAUUUAAAUACAGGGACGCUUUAGAAGUGAUGUUGCCGGGCGAUGGUUGACCCGGUCGUAAGGGAUCGAAAAUGAGUAGAGAAGUCAUCAUGGAAAGAGACAAGAAAAGCUGUAUGGAUAUCUUAGGUGCCCGUACCGCAAACCGACACAGGUAGAUAGGAAGAAGAUUCUAAGGCCAACGGGAGAAGGGUUGUUAAGGAACUCGGCAAGUUGACCCCGUAACUUAGGGAUAAGGGGUGCUCAAGUGAUUGAGCCGCAGAGAAUAGGCCCAGGCGACUGUUUAGCAAAAACACAGGUCUCUGCUAAAUCGAAAGAUGACGUAUAGGGGCUGACACCUGCCCGGUGCCGGAAGGUUAAGAGGAGAUGUGAGAGCAUUGAAUUGAAGCCCCGGUAAACGGCGGCCGUAACUAUAACGGUCCUAAGGUAGCGAAAUUCCUUGUCAGGUAAGUUCUGACCCGCACGAAUGGUGUAACGAUUUGGGCACUGUCUCAACAACCCACCCGGCGAAAUUGUAGUACCGGUGAAGAUGCCGGUUACCCGCGACUAGACGGAAAGACCCCAUGGAGCUUCACUGCAGCUUAAUAUUGGAUUUCGGUAUUUCAUGUUGGAGGCGACGAAGCCGGUAAGGUAGCCUGGAAAACCUGUCCUAAAUGCCAAAAGCGCAUGCAGGAUGAGCAUUUGGCUAAUGUGGAUGAAUUACAGAGUUACCUGAUCCAUCGCGUAGAAGUGUUUCUCAAUGCUCAUGGACGUAAACUGUUAGGAUGGGAUGAGAUUUUGCAAGGAGGACUGGCGCCCAAUGCUACUGUGAUGUCAUGGCGUGGUGAACAAGGAGGUAUCGAUGCCGUAAAAUCCGGUCAUCAGGCGAUUAUGACUCCCGGGUCACAUUGUUAUAUAGAUGGUUAUCAAGAUCCACCUUAUUCCCAACCUGAGGCUAUUGGCGGAUAUCUGCCCUUGGAAAAGGUAUACUCUUAUAAUCCGAUCCCUGCCUCACUUACACCUGAUGAAGCGAAGCUGAUUUAUGGUGUCCAAGCCAAUCUUUGGGCGGAAUACAUCCAGACUGACGAGCAUUGUGAAUACAUGAUUUAUCCUCGUAUUCUUGCGUUGGCCGAAGUGGCUUGGUCUGCUCCCGAACGAAAAUCAUGGACUGAUUUUCGCCCGCGUGCUCUAAAAGCCGUAGCAUAUCUACAAUCCAAGGGAUAUCAUCCGUUUGAUUUGAAAAAGGAGAUCGGUAAUCGGCCUGAAGCGUCAAAACCGGUUCAGCAUCUUGCCUUG